GCGAGUGAAGCGGUAACAGCUCAAAUUUGAAAUCUGGCCUCACGGUCCGAGUUGUAAUUUGUAGAGGAUGCUUUUGGCGCGGUGCCUUCCGAGUGCCCUGGAACGGGACGCCACAGAGGGUGAGAGCCCCGUAUGGUCGGACACCAAGCCUGUGUAAAGCUCCUUCGACGAGCCGGGUAGCUUGGGAAUGCUGCUCUAAGUGGGAGGUAAACUUCUUCUAAAGCUAAAUACUGGCCAGAGACCGACAGCGCACAAGUAGAGUGAUCGAAAGAUGAAAAGCACUUUGAAAAGAGGGUCAAAUAGUACGUGAAAUUGUUGAAAGGGAAGCGCUCAUGACCAGACUUGCGCCGGGCUGAUCAUCCAGUGGUCUCCACUGGUGCACUCUGCCCGGCUCAGGCCAGCGUCGGCUGUCACGGGGGGACAAAAGCUCUGGGAAAGUAGCUCUCUCCGGGGAGUGUUAUAGCCCUAUGCAGAAUACCCCCGCGGCGGCCGAGGCCCGCGCUCUGCAAG
RNAcentral lists this ribosomal RNA (510 nucleotides) under uncultured Cephalotheca. RNAcentral's name for it is "eukaryotic LSU rRNA". It matches the Rfam family "Eukaryotic large subunit ribosomal RNA", at positions 89 to 608 of the family's 3401-position model. Lineage: Eukaryota; Fungi; Ascomycota; Sordariomycetes; Cephalothecales; Cephalothecaceae. The record is from RNAcentral.